GACGAACGCUGGCGGCGUGCUUAACACAUGCAAGUCGAGCGGUAAGGCCCUUUCGGGGGUACACGAGCGGCGAACGGGUGAGUAACACGUGGGUGACCUGCCUCUAGCUCUGGGAUAAGCCCGGGAAACUGGGUCUAAUACUGGAUAUGACUCCAUGACGCAUGUUGUGGGGUGGAAAGCCUUGUGCGGCUAGAGAUGGGCCCGCGGCCUAUCAGCUUGUUGGGGGUGAUGGCCUACCAAGGCGACGACGGGUAGCCGGCCUGAGAGGGCGACCGGCCACACUGGACUGAGACACGGCCCAGACUCCUACGGGAGGCAGCA
RNAcentral lists this ribosomal RNA (321 nucleotides) under uncultured bacterium. RNAcentral describes it as "bacterial SSU rRNA". It matches the Rfam family "Bacterial small subunit ribosomal RNA", at positions 28 to 353 of the family's 1533-position model. The record is from RNAcentral.